RNAcentral lists this long non-coding RNA (793 nucleotides) under Equus caballus (horse). RNAcentral describes it as "lncRNA (ENSECAG00000056723.1)". The record is from RNAcentral. Lineage: Eukaryota; Metazoa; Chordata; Mammalia; Perissodactyla; Equidae.
UGUCUGUUUUACUAUCUUUAGAGAACAAAUCUUCCCUCUUAUGCCAGGAUUGGAGAGGGAAAGGCAUCCAGCCGCAUGGAGUAGAGGAUGGGAUUGGGGCCCUAAGAGCUUCUUGAACAAACUUUUAAUGAAUGCUCCUCUUUGUAGCACCACCUCCACCUCCACCUCAGAGGCAUCAGGUGCCACCAAUACUUAAUUAAGAUUAUCAGGCCUUAACGUCUGUGCUGUGAGCUGGGCCGUUUCUGAGCUUUCCUUACAACUGCUUUGGGAUCCAGCAUGCUAAGCUCUGAUCCUUCAACAUCCAAAGCUUUUGCACAUCCUGUUAUCCUGACCUGAGAUGCUCUUGAGACGUCUGGCUCCUUCUCAUAUUGACAGUCUUAUCUCAAAUGGCUACUCUUCAGAGAGAUCACUGACCAACGCUAUAAGGAGGAAUCUCUCCACUGAGCUCAAUUGUUUUCCAUUGGAGGAAACUAAAACGCAUAAAGGAUUCAGGACUUGAUCAAGGUCGUAUAGCACCCUGGUUGGCAGACCAGAGCUAGAAACCAAGAAUAAUGGUCGAGAUACCACGUUUUUACAAAUUGAAGGUUUGUGACAACCCUGCAUUCAACAAGUCUAUCGGUGCCAUUGUUCCAACAGCAUUUGCUCACUUCGCAUCUUUGUGUCACAUUUUGAAUUUGCCACAGACACCCCCGUCUUCAGCAAACACUGCUCUGAUCAGUCAGCAGCCACCAACAUCGAGACAAGAUCCUCCACCAGCAAAAAGAUUACCACUCACUGGAAGGCUCCAAUGAUG